GGAGUAUAACAUGUGCGCGAGUCACUGGGAUCUGCUAAACCCAGAGGCGCAGUGAAAGCGUGGGGCUCGCCUGGCUUAACGCCUGGCGCGAGCCGCGAAGGGAGGACUGCCGGUUGUUACAGACCAGUGCUGCCGGCCAGCACUCCCGGGUCGCCUCGGCCGCAGGCGCACCCAGAGCGUACACGUUGGGACACGAAAGAUGGUGAACUAUGCCCGGCCAGGACAAAGUCAGGGGAAACCUUGAUGGAGGUCCGCAGCGAUUCUGACGUGCAAAUCGAUCGUCACAGCUAGGUAUAGGGGGAAAGUCUAAUCGAACCAUCUAGUAGCUGGUUCCCUCCGACGUUUCCCUSAGGAUAGCUGGCGCCGAGUUGGAGUGGGUCAGUCUCAUCCGGUAAAGCGAAUGAAUAGAGGCCUUGGGGCCGAAACGACCUCAACCUAUUCUCAAACUUUAAAUGGGUGAGAUCUCCGGCUUGCUUGAGCGAAGCCGCGAGAAGACGGAUGAUGGUCCAAAGUGGGCCAAUUUUUG
Molecule: ribosomal RNA, 526 nt
Filed under: Reticulitermes santonensis (Saintonge termite)
Lineage: Eukaryota; Metazoa; Arthropoda; Insecta; Blattodea; Rhinotermitidae
Description: eukaryotic LSU rRNA
Rfam family: Eukaryotic large subunit ribosomal RNA
Source: RNAcentral